GAGUAAAGAUUUCGGUCGCUUUGGGAGGAGCUCGCUUACUAUCAGCUUGUUGGUAGGGUAAUGGCCUACCAAGGCUAUGACGGUUAGGGGGUGUGAGAGCAUGACCCCCAGCAUUGGCACUGAAACACUGGCCAAACACCUACGGGUGGCUGCAGUCGAGAAUCUUCCACAAUGGGGGAAACCCUGAUGGAGCGAUGCUGCGUGCGGGAUGAAGGCCUUCGGGUUGUAAACCGCUUUUGUAGGGGACGAAAUUUUUGACGGUACCCUUUCGAAUAAGAGGUUGCUAACUCUGUGCCAGCAGCAGCGGUAAUACAGAGACCUCAAGCGUUAUCCGGAUUUACUGGGCGUAAAGCGUCUGUAGGGGGUUUAUUAAGUUCCAAGUAAAAUUUCAAGGCUCAACUUUGAAUUCGCUUGGAAAACUAAUAAACUGGAGUCUAGCAGAGGUGCAUGGAACUUGUGGUGUAGGAGUGAAAUCCGUUGAUAUCACAAGGAACACCAAAGGCGAAGGCAUUGCACUGGGCUAGCACUGACCCUGAGAGACGAGAGCGUGGGGAGCAAAACGGAUUAGAUACCCGUGUAGUCCACGCCCUAAACGAUGAAUGCUAAAUGUUCGGGGAUUCGACCCCCUGGGUGUUACAGCUAACGCGUUAAGCAUUCCGCCUGGGAAGUACGGCCGCAAGGCUAAAACUCAAAGGAAUAGACGGGGAUCCGCACAAGCGGUGGAGCGUCUGGUUUAAUUCGACAGUAAGCGUGGUACCUCACCAGGGUUUGACAUCCCUUGACAGCCUUGGAAACAAGGUUUCCUUCGGGCAAGGUGACAGGUGCUGCAUGGUCGUCGUCAGUUCGUGCCGUGAGGUGUUCCGUUAAGUCGGGAAACGAACGAAACCCCUAUUGCAUGUUACAAUUUCUCAUGCAAGACUGCCCGGAUAUACUGGGAGGAAGGUGGGGAUGACGUCAGAUCUGCAUGGUCCUUAUACCCUGGGCGACACAGGCGCUACAAUGGCAGAGACAAAGGGUUGCAAAACCGCAAGGUGAAGCUAAUCCCAAAAACUUUGUCUGAGUUCGGAUUGAAGGCUGCAAUUCGCCUUCAUGAAGCUGGAAUCGCUAGUAAUCGUGAAUCAGCCACGUCACGGUGAAUAUGUUCCCGGAUCUUGUACUCACCGCCCGUCACACCAAGAGAGUUGGUAGCUCCCGA
This 1195-nucleotide ribosomal RNA is filed under the name uncultured organism. RNAcentral's name for it is "bacterial SSU rRNA". It matches the Rfam family "Bacterial small subunit ribosomal RNA", at positions 199 to 1424 of the family's 1533-position model. The record is from RNAcentral.